RNAcentral lists this ribosomal RNA (495 nucleotides) under uncultured bacterium. Its description in RNAcentral is "partial 16S ribosomal RNA". It matches the Rfam family "Bacterial small subunit ribosomal RNA", at positions 28 to 507 of the family's 1533-position model. The record is from RNAcentral.
GACGAACGCUGGCGGCGUGCCUAAUACAUGCAAGUAGAACGCUGAAGGAGGAGCUUGCUUCUCUGGAUGAGUUGCGAACGGGUGAGUAACGCGUAGGAAACCUGCCUGGUAGCGGGGGAUAACUAUUGGAAACGAUAGCUAAUACCGCAUAAGAGUAGAUGUUGCAUGACAUUUGCUUAAAAGGUGCAAUUGCAUCACUACCAGAUGGACCUGCGUUGUAUUAGCUAGUUGGUGGGGUAACGGCUCACCAAGGCGACGAUACAUAGCCGACCUGAGAGGGUGAUCGGCCACACUGGGACUGAGACACGGCCCAGACUCCUACGGGAGGCAGCAGUAGGGAAUCUUCGGCAAUGGACGGAAGUCUGACCGAGCAACGCCGCGUGAGUGAAGAAGGUUUUCGGAUCGUAAAGCUCUGUUGUAAGAGAAGAACGAGUGUGAGAGUGGAAAGUUCACACUGUGACGGUAUCUUACCAGAAAGGGACGGCUAACUACGUG